UACGAAGGGGGCGAGCGUUAUUCGGAAUCACUGGGCGUAAAGCGUGCGUAGGCUGUUUUACAAGUUGGAAGUGAAAGCCCAGGGCUCAACCCUGGAAUUGCUUUCAAAACUGUAAGACUCGAGUCCGGGAGAGGAUAGCGGAAUUUCCAGUGUAGUAGUGAAAUACGUAGAUAUUGGAAGGAACACCAGUGGCGCAAGCGGCUAUCUGGACCGGUACUGACGCUGAGGCACGAAAGCGUGGGGAUCAAACAGG
Molecule: ribosomal RNA, 253 nt
Filed under: uncultured bacterium
Lineage: Bacteria
Description: partial 16S ribosomal RNA
Rfam family: Bacterial small subunit ribosomal RNA
Source: RNAcentral